RNAcentral lists this transfer RNA (72 nucleotides) under Bolbometopon muricatum (green humphead parrotfish). RNAcentral describes it as "tRNA-Thr". It matches the Rfam family "tRNA". From Rfam's summary of the family: Transfer RNA (tRNA) molecules are approximately 80 nucleotides in length. Their secondary structure includes four short double-helical elements and three loops (D, anti-codon, and T loops). The record is from RNAcentral. Lineage: Eukaryota; Metazoa; Chordata; Actinopteri; Labriformes; Labridae.
GCACUAGUAGCUUAACAUAAAAGCGUCGGUCUUGUAAACCGGAAGAUGGAAGUUAAACCCUUCCCCACUGCU